UACGAAGGGGGCAAGCGUUGUUCGGAAUUACUGGGCGUAAAGCGCGCGUAGGCGGCUUUGCAAGUCGGGUGUGAAAUCCCCAGGCUUAACCUGGGAACUGCAUUCGAGACUGCAUUGCUAGAGUAUGGGAGAGGGAAGUGGAAUUUCCGGUGUAGCGGUGAAAUGCGUAGAUAUCGGAAGGAACAUCAGUGGCGAAAGCGACUUCCUGGACCAAUACUGACGCUCAUGUGCGAAAGCGUGGGGAGCAAACAGG
Molecule: ribosomal RNA, 253 nt
Filed under: uncultured bacterium
Lineage: Bacteria
Description: partial 16S ribosomal RNA
Rfam family: Bacterial small subunit ribosomal RNA
Source: RNAcentral